UGAGGUAGAGGCAUCUAGCUGUACAGUUAGUGAGGUAGAGGCAUCUAGCUGUACAGUUAGUGAGGUAGAGGCAUCUAGCUGUACAGUUAGUUAGUGAGGUAGAGGCAUCUAGCUGUACAGUUAGUUAGUGAGGUAGAGGCAUCUAGCUGUACAGUUAGUUAGUGAGGUAGAGGCAUCUAGCUGUACAGUUAGUUAGUGAGGUAGAGGCAUCUAGCUGUACAGUUAGUUAGUGAGGUAGAGGCAUCUAGCUGUACAGUUAGUUAGUGAGGUAGAAGCUUCUAGCUGUACAGUUAGUUAGUGAGGUAGAAGCAUCUAGCUGUACAGUUAGUUAGUGAGGUAGAAGCUUCUAGCUGUACAGUUAGUUAGUGAGGUAGAGGCAUCUAGCUGUACAGUUAGUUAGUGAGGUAGAGGCAUCUAGCUGUACAGUUAGUUAGUGAAGUAGAGGCAUCUAGCUGUACAGUUAGUUAGUUAGAAGCUUCUAGCUGUACAGUUAGUUAGUGAGGUAGAAGCUUCUAGCUGUACAGUUAGUAAGUGAGGUAGAGGCAUCUAGCUGUACAGUUAGUUAGUGAGGUAGAGGCAUCUAGCUGUACAGUUAGUGAGGUAGAAGCAAAACGCUGGUCGCCGUUGGCAGUAAGUAACGUAACAACUUUUAAUGCAUUUCUCAGCAAAGGGUAGGUUUAUAAAGGUGUGUAAACAGCAUUUACCCUCCACUAUGGAAGUUAGGGUGGAGGGGUUAGGGUGUAGUGUGGAGGGGUUAGGGUGUAGUGUGGAGGGGUUAGGGUGUAGUGUGGAGGGGUUAGGGUGUAGUGUGGAGGGGUUAGGGUGUAGUGUGGAGGGGUUAGUGUGUAGUGUGGAGGGGUUAGUGUGUAGUGUGGAGGGGUUAGUGUGUGUAAACAGCAUUUACCCUCCACUAUGUAAGUUAGGGUGUAGUGUGGAGGGGUUAGGGUGUAGUGUGCAGGGGUUAGGGUGUAGUGUGGAGGGGUUAGGGUGUAGUGUGGAGGGGUUAGGGUGUAGUGUGGAGGGGUUAGGGUGUAGUGUGGAGGGGUUAGGGUGUAGUGUGGAGGGGUUAGGGUGUAGUGUGCAGGGGUUAGGGUGUAGUGUGCAGGGGUUAGGGUGUAGUGUGGAGGGGUUAGUGUGUGUAAACAGCAUUUACCCUCCACUAUGUAAGUUAGGGUGUAGUGUGCAUGGGUUAGGGUGUAGUGUGGAGGGGUUAGGGUGUAGUGUGGAGGGGUUAGGGUGUAGUGUGGAGGGGUUAGGGUGUAGUGUGGAGGGGUUAGGGUGUAGUGUGGAGGGGUUAGGGUGUAGUGUGGAGGCGUUAGGGUGUAGUGUGGAGGCGUUAGGGUGUAGUGUGGAGGCGUUAGGGUGUAGUGUGGAGGCG
This is a long non-coding RNA of Oncorhynchus keta (chum salmon), 1378 nucleotides long. RefSeq lists it as uncharacterized. The transcript has 3 exons. The record is from RefSeq and is a predicted model, not a curated record. NCBI's taxonomy places the organism in Eukaryota, Metazoa, Chordata, Actinopteri, Salmoniformes, Salmonidae.